GUUGCCUGAGUAGUUGUUUCGGUGGUUGCCGUUGCGGUUCCUAUCUUGUUCUUGGUUAUUGCCGUGAUUGUUGUUAUUGUCACAGCUGCGAUUAUGGUUUGACUCAAAUCUUUUGCGUUCUUUAUCUUAUUCAUCUACCCAUGAUUGGUCCAUGAUCUUGAGUGCUUUGACAUCCGCAGGGCAACGCCUACCGAAGUCUUGGAACACGCGGC
This 212-nucleotide long non-coding RNA is filed under the name Setaria viridis. RNAcentral's name for it is "long non-coding RNA (SVIR_LNC004444)". The record is from RNAcentral. Lineage: Eukaryota; Viridiplantae; Streptophyta; Magnoliopsida; Poales; Poaceae.